Molecule: ribosomal RNA, 643 nt
Filed under: uncultured bacterium
Lineage: Bacteria
Description: bacterial SSU rRNA
Rfam family: Bacterial small subunit ribosomal RNA
Source: RNAcentral
CGCGGCCUAUCAGCUUGUUGGUGGGGUAAUGGCUCACCAAGGCGACGACGGGUAGCCGGCCUGAGAGGGUGACCGGCCACACUGGGACUGAGACACGGCCCAGACUCCUACGGGAGGCAGCAGUGGGGAAUAUUGCACAAUGGGCGGAAGCCUGAUGCAGCGACGCCGCGUGAGGGAUGACGGCCUUCGGGUUGUAAACCUCUUUCAGUAGGGAAGAAGCGAGAGUGACGGUACCUGCAGAAGAAGCGCCGGCUAACUACGUGCCAGCAGCCGCGGUAAUACGUAGGGCGCAAGCGUUGUCCGGAAUUAUUGGGCGUAAAGAGCUCGUAGGCGGUUUGUCGCGUCUGCUGUGAAAGCCCGGGGCUCAACCCCGGGUCUGCAGUGGGUACGGGCAGACUAGAGUGCAGUAGGGGAGACUGGAAUUCCUGGUGUAGCGGUGAAAUGCGCAGAUAUCAGGAGGAACACCGAUGGCGAAGGCAGGUCUCUGGGCUGUUACUGACGCUGAGGAGCGAAAGCAUGGGGGGCGAACAGGAUUAGAUACCCUGGUAGUCCAUGCCGUAAACGUUGGGCACUAGGUGUGGGGGACAUUCCACGUUUUCCGCGCCGUAGCUAACGCAUUAAGUGCCCCGCCUGGGGAGUACGG